RNAcentral lists this long non-coding RNA (529 nucleotides) under Glycine max (soybean). Its description in RNAcentral is "long non-coding RNA (GMAX_LNC000269)". The record is from RNAcentral. Lineage: Eukaryota; Viridiplantae; Streptophyta; Magnoliopsida; Fabales; Fabaceae.
AGAUCUUGGCUUGAUUCGCGGUCAAUCCAAAGAAAGUGGUAAUCAAACACCUUUAAAUGACCAAUUAAUGAAGUUGAACAGAGUUGGGUGCAUGGGACAAAUGUUGAGAUGAAGAAGAAGCCAUGGCCUGUUAGAGUAAGAAAAUGCAAAAUGACCCACUUGGAAUGUUGUAGUGAAGAACAGUAAAGAAUAAAACAUCAUCAAAGCAAUGUCCCGUGGUCAUUUUCGUUUUUCAUAUUUAUGAAAGGUACCCGUGGUCGUUUUCUCCCUUGUGCGAAUGUCGUCGUUCAGGCGUUCACAACCGAGGUAAAGAUGCUUGUCACUGAAACCGUAUCCGCACUGUAGUUGCAAACUGGGCAGGAUGAUGUUUGCCACCGGUGGGAGAGAGCACCGGAGAAGUAAAAGGGAUGAAAUGACGGAAAAGGCAAUAGCGGCUAUGGUUGUAAAUUUAAUCUUUCUAUUUCUCAUUUUGAAUUUGUUACUCUUACCAUUUAAUUCACUAAUUAAUUAAGUAUCUCAUUUUUUUAAA